GAAAAAUGAAAACUUGUAAUGCUGAAAUGGAACUAUUGAAAUCAGCAACAGAAAUGAAAGCCAGGCAAAUAAAAAAUUUAAAUGGUACGUGCUCAUUAACCCUUAAUUGUCUCAAGAAAGCUCGUUGACAAAUAAAUCAAAUAAGUUCUGCUGUUUUAGAAAGCGAUUCUGCAGUGAAAUGGUUUCUGCUAUCACAAGCAAAUGAAGCAACAGAUCAAAGCCAAUCAUAGAUAUCUGCAAUAANNN
Molecule: long non-coding RNA, 246 nt
Filed under: Olea europaea (common olive)
Lineage: Eukaryota; Viridiplantae; Streptophyta; Magnoliopsida; Lamiales; Oleaceae
Description: long non-coding RNA (OEUR_LNC001196)
Source: RNAcentral